AACGAACGCUGGCGGCAGGCCUAACACAUGCAAGUCGAGCGCCCUUUCGGGGGAGCGGCGGACGGGGGAGUAACGCGUGGGAAUAUGCCCUUCUCUACGGAAUAGCCUCGGGAAACUGAGAGUAAUACCGUAUACGCCCUAUGGGGGAAAGAUUUAUCGGGGAAGGAUUAGCCCGCGUUGGAUUAGGUAGUUGGUGGGGUAAUGGCCUACCAAGCCGACGAUCCAUAGCUGGUUUGAGAGGAUGAUCAGCCACACUGGGACUGAGACACGGCCCAGACUCCUACGGGAGGCAGCAGUGGGGAAUCUUAGACAAUGGGGGCAACCCUGAUCUAGCCAUGCCGCGUGAGUGAUGAAGGCCUUAGGGUUGUAAAGCUCUUUCAGCUGGGAAGAUAAUGACGGUACCAGCAGAAGAAGCCCCGGCUAACUCCGUG
Molecule: ribosomal RNA, 431 nt
Filed under: uncultured bacterium
Lineage: Bacteria
Description: partial 16S ribosomal RNA
Rfam family: Bacterial small subunit ribosomal RNA
Source: RNAcentral